AGUGAACGCUGGCGGUAGGCCUAACACAUGCAAGUCGAACGGCAGCACAGUAAGAGCUUGCUCUUACGGGUGGCGAGUGGCGGACGGGUGAGGAAUACAUCGGAAUCUACUUUUUCGUGGGGGAUAACGUAGGGAAACUUACGCUAAUACCGCAUACGACCUACGGGUGAAAGCAGGGGAUCUUCGGACCUUGCGCGAUUGAAUGAGCCGGUGUCGGAUUAGCUAGUUGGCGGGGUAGAGGCCCACCAAGGCGACGAUCCGUAGCUGGUCUGAGAGGAUGAUCAGCCACACUGGAACUGAGACACGGUCCAGACUCCUACGGGAGGCAGCAGUGGGGAAUAUUGGACAAUGGGCGCAAGCCUGAUCCAGCCAUACCGCGUGGGUGAAGAAGGCCUUCGGGUUGUAAAGCCCUUUUGUUGGGAAAGAAAAGCAGCAGGUUAAUACCCCGCUGUUCUGACGGUACCCAAAGAAUAAGCACCGGCUAACUUCGUG
RNAcentral lists this ribosomal RNA (492 nucleotides) under uncultured bacterium. RNAcentral describes it as "partial 16S ribosomal RNA". It matches the Rfam family "Bacterial small subunit ribosomal RNA", at positions 29 to 507 of the family's 1533-position model. The record is from RNAcentral.